RNAcentral lists this ribosomal RNA (442 nucleotides) under uncultured bacterium. Its description in RNAcentral is "partial 16S ribosomal RNA". It matches the Rfam family "Bacterial small subunit ribosomal RNA", at positions 338 to 795 of the family's 1533-position model. The record is from RNAcentral.
CCUACGGGAGGCAGCAGUGGGGAAUAUUGGGCAAUGGGCGCAAGCCUGACCCAGCAACGCCGCGUGAAGGAAGAAGGCCCUCGGGUUGUAAACUUCUUUUAUUCGGGACGAAACAAAUGACGGUACCGAAUGAAUAAGCCACGGCUAACUACGUGCCAGCAGCCGCGGUAAUACGGAGGAUGCGAGCGUUAUCCGGAUUUAUUGGGUUUAAAGGGUGCGUAGGCGGACUGUUAAGUCAGCGGUAAAAGCCCGGGGCUCAACCCCGGCGAGCCGUUGAAACUGGCUGUCUUGAGAUGUCGAGAGGUAUGCGGAAUGCGCAGUGUAGCGGUGAAAUGCUUAGAUAUUGCGCAGAACUCCGAUUGCGAAGGCAGCAUACCGGCGGCGAUCUGACGCUGAGGCACGAAAGCGUGGGUAUCGAACAGGAUUAGAUACCCGAGUAGUC